UGUGGGAGUGAGCCUGCUCGCGAUUGCGUCAGCAAAGCCAGCAAUGAUGUUGCCUGACGCACCGCCAUCGCGAGCAGGCUCGCUCCCACA
RNAcentral lists this unclassified non-coding RNA (90 nucleotides) under Pseudomonas arsenicoxydans. The record is from RNAcentral. Lineage: Bacteria; Pseudomonadati; Pseudomonadota; Gammaproteobacteria; Pseudomonadales; Pseudomonadaceae.